UACGGGGGGGGCAAGCGUUGUUCGGAAUUACUGGGCGUAAAGGGCUCGUAGGCGGCCAACUAAGUCAGACGUGAAAUCCCUAGGCUUAACCUGGGAACUGCGUCUGAUACUGGAUGGCUCGAGUUUGGGAGAGGGAUGCGGAAUUCCAGGUGUAGCGGUGAAAUGCGUAGAUAUCUGGAGGAACACCGGUGGUGUAAACGGCAUCCUGGACCAUUACUGACGCUGAUGCACGAAAGCGUGGGGAGCAAACAGG
This 253-nucleotide ribosomal RNA is filed under the name uncultured bacterium. RNAcentral's name for it is "partial 16S ribosomal RNA". It matches the Rfam family "Bacterial small subunit ribosomal RNA", at positions 524 to 776 of the family's 1533-position model. The record is from RNAcentral.